UAAUUUAUUUGGGAUAGAUACUCAUCUAAUUAUGGUAGACCCACAUAUGACUACGCAAUCAUCCGUUAUUGCAAGCCUGACUACAUUAAUAUUUGGUUAGCCUUUUUAGAGCCAACUAGAUAAAUUUCUUUGAAAGCUUCCCAACUUAGAA
Populus trichocarpa (black cottonwood) is the source of this 151-nucleotide non-coding RNA. The record is from Rfam. NCBI's taxonomy places the organism in Eukaryota, Viridiplantae, Streptophyta, Magnoliopsida, Malpighiales, Salicaceae.